This is a long non-coding RNA of Megalopta genalis, 3528 nucleotides long. RefSeq lists it as uncharacterized. Lineage: Eukaryota; Metazoa; Arthropoda; Insecta; Hymenoptera; Halictidae. The record is from RefSeq and is a predicted model, not a curated record.
CUUUUCGUAAUCGUUACUUAAAAGCCGGCGGAGGCGCUCUUUGCCCGUUCGUUUUUGUCGUAUCGUCGCUGGUCAUCGCCGUCACCAACUCGCCGACAGCCUUUCCUAAGUCCCCUAAAAAAAGAAAAAUUAACAUGUCUCUUUUCCUAGAAUGAUUCAGCGGUCCUUUAUAUAUAUAUAUAUAUUUUUUUUUUUUAAAGAUCAAUUCUUACUGUGAAACAAAUUUUUGCAAAUUCUCUAAACAACUCAACAAAGAACGAGUCUCCGACUAAAACAACCGAAAAUAUGUACAGUGGCAGAAAGCGAUGGGCAGAGAAUUAUGUCAUGAUUCGAGUAUGCACGGUGCAUGAUCGUGUAUGACCGAGCAUUAUGAACAUGGUAUUUGAACAGCAACAUUAACGUGUGUUCGACAAUUCAAGAAGAUGGAACAUGUGAUCAUGUGUUCGCGCGAAUCGCAGAUUCAGCAGGAAAAGAAGCGUUGAGAGUCUCACCUUACAUCCAUCCUGUGGCGUGAAAAAAUAGGAAAGCAUUGUCAUUGUUAAGCAGAAUUGGAUCGUGCACAGAAUGUUCGAGAUGAAGAAGUUCGCUUAAGGCAACAUAAAUAUGAUUUAGAUUAAAAAUAGUACGCCAAGGGGAAACGAACCUGCCAUGUGUAAGAGAUUACCCACGUUAUGGGCAACGCUGUGAGAAUGCGGUGGCGGUGGUGGCCUCUCUAAACUGCUUACUCUUCCCUCGUUCGAGCCUCCACCACCUACGCCCAUAUACCCAUACCGAUAAGCUUAUGAUAACGUCUUUGUUAAUAUGCGUUAAUAUGCGUCGAACUUUGUUAAUUUAGUUGAGUGCUAAUAGGCGUGUCAUCGACACGAUUGUUUUAAAUAUGAUUCAACUAAAUAGUAAUUUUUAGUUGAAAAAAGCCGUAUCAAAAUUUUGCAUCCUUUCGUAUGUGAGAAACUACUGAACCGUGAGACCUCCAUUUAUUUUCACCCAAUACGUGUGCUUUUCAUAUUUCGACAAAAUAUUGAAUGUAUAUUUGGACGCAGCAUUAAGGGUAUGCGUCUAGAGGGGUUGAAAAUAGCAGUUUUUAAUUUAAUUAAAAAAUAUAUAAUGUUAGAGAAAUUGUGACACAAAAUAGACGUUUGCUUCAAUGAUGCUUAAAACCUUUCAACACAAUUCGAAAUGCUAGUCAUAUGAAUGCGAAAUUAUAUUUCUCAAACAUUGAUGAACCAAAUUAAGUAAAAUUGUAUAUGGAGAUUCUUAACGAAAAUCAUUCGAUUUUCACUUAUAAAUAAAAAUAUAUACGAGAAUUUAUACAAAAAAGUAUCAAAUUUCUCAAAUAGCUGUGUUGAGAAAACAUUUGUUCAAAAUGUAUUAACGUGUUUCAAAUUUCCAUACUUGUUUCAUAUACGUUUCACUAGAACAUUCGCAGAAAUAUCAGUAUUAUUAUGUAAAACACGGUUAAAUAAAAAAACACGAUAUAAAUUGCGUUCAAAUCUAUAAACAUCAUAUUAUUAAAACCACGAAAUCCACUAUUUUCGAUGCAAUCAUUUAUUACAUGCUAUAAAACCUUCUCUAUAUGCGUAAAAGACGGAUGAUUUUUCACCUAAUCGCAUUCUCUCAUCGACUAUCUUGCUGUUAUUCAGCUAGAAAACGAUACAAAUAUUUUUAGUAUUACUAUCAUUGCAUACAGUAACCCGACGAAUGUUGCUGCUAACUUAUAACUUUAUACUGGUUCGAAAUAUUUAAAAACCACCUCACUUCCUAUCGUUCCUAUGUACACAUGUUCUGCAGCCAUAAGGGUCGACGAAUGAAUGAAAAUACCUGAUCGCGUUAAAUAAAAAUAGCUGACAAACGGAGACCUAAAUCGUCGAAACACACAUAUUUCAUACAUAAAAUAUUCUCGCUAUGUCACUUAUCAGUAACAAAAAUUACCUGGAGAAUCAUGGUAAUGGCCAUUCAUCUUCGCCGGAGAGUCAGUAGCCAGCUGCGAAGCGGUUACGCUUCGUGUCUGCAAAGUGCCAGUUUUCGACGGCGAUGAAGCAUUCGGCUGUAAAAAUGAGACGUCGUCAUGAAAUCUAUCAUAUAAAGGAAACCCUGGCGAGUCGAGAUAUCCGACUGACCUCGUCCAGGAGCUGUCUGAGUCUCUGCAGCUGCGCCUCCAGUUGCCUAUUAUGAUCCUCGAGUAUCUGCAUGCGCGCCUCCAAUCUGCCUUUAUGCUGUCUCAACAAUUUUGCUUCGGCGAUCAUGUCGCAGUCCGGUUGCCGAUUGCCGUGGCCGUCCUCGGGCGUGGAGCCCGGUGUCUGCUUCGAGCGUAGUCGUUCGUACUCCGCUUGGAGCGUUGCGUUCUCCUCCUCGAGCUCGCGGAUCAUCGCCUCGAGCUCCUCCCUUUGCUCGGCGUCGAUGGCAGCCAUCACUUGAACGGGGCUCCUGGGCACGUUCACAUUGUCGCCGCCGUUCAAGCUCUGGCAAUAAUGCGCGAUCAGUUGAUGUUCGUCGUCGCUGUCCGGCGUCGAGUUGCUUCUGGUGCGCGACAGCUCGACCUCCGCGAGCCGGGAGGCGUACAUCUCCAAUCGAGAAUGCAUGUCCUGGCUGAGGGAGCUGUGCUGAGGCGACGGCGCCGGACUCUCCAGUGCAUCCCCCUCGAGCACAGUCUGCACCGGCAAAUAACCAACCCGCGGAUGUUUCUUGAAGUAUCUCUUCGACUUGAAUUUGUUCCGAAGUGCCCUUGUGAAGUCGCGCACGUCCUCUCCAGAUGUAGUCUGCGCCAAAUAAAUAAACAGAUAUUAUUGCACCGAGUCAUGGCCACUGACGUCUCCACCUAUAUACAAACUAUAUAUAGAAAAUACGAUACGGCACAUCAGCCCCCUCGGCAAAAUAAGCACUAGAAUUUAGACCUUGAUGCAACGUCGAUCCUACGCUUUUUACGUUUGUAUGCAACGAGUAAGUGCGAGUACUCGGCGAAGUGAUUACAUAUGUAUAUAAUAGUGAUAUAUAAGUGAUUACGACUAAAUAUGAUAUAAGUGAUUGAGUAAAAUGACAUUGGCUGCUAAGGGAUGGAACCCUUUAGUAAUCAGCAAUAUAGGGUAGCGGAGCCAGUUAUACUAUAGAGUGAUCAAUUUUUUCGGGCAUAAUUAACUUUAUAUUUAUGGAAUAGUAAUUUGUUUCUUCUUUUAUUUUGCUUACUAUUCAAUGAAACAUUGUAAUAGGUCUUAUUUGAUAAAUAUAAAGUCAAUUACAUCUACUGUUAGAUUUCAUUGUUUUGUGGUCUGGAAAGCAGUUUUCAAUUGUUUCAAGGUAGAACUGAUUAUUUGAAUCGUUUACUGUAAGAUAUUAAAAUAUAUUUUAUGAGUGUGAGCAAAAGUACAUUUGAAAUUAUCUUAUAAGCGAUGUGUAAAUAAUCUGUCUAAUAGCCUAUAUUUGUAGAAGGUUUGUUACACGGUAUACGAGAUUGAAUUUUAUUCAUAUAGUAACGCAGAAAUUUGUAACAGGUGCUUGUAAAUUUUAUUAAACAUAAAUUCUUAUAUUUUUUCA